Non-coding RNA from Pogona vitticeps (central bearded dragon), 518 nucleotides. Lineage: Eukaryota; Metazoa; Chordata; Lepidosauria; Squamata; Agamidae. The record is from RefSeq and is a predicted model, not a curated record.
UUGUCCGUAAGGAGUCGGACUGCGUGUCCUGCGAUAAGUGGUAGCAAAGCGUGGAAAGCCCUUAUAAUUGCUAAAAGUUCGAGAUGAUUGAUGUGUAAUGUUUUUUCUUGAUUUGUCCAUAGGCCACGAAUCUUGUGAUGCAGACAGUGUGCUCCCCAACCAGAUGGGCUGGAAUCAGUGAUAACUUGUAUCAUUGUUUGAAGAGGCAAAAAGGGUUGUCCGACAAGGAGAUUCAGGUGAAAUGUCCACCAAAAUCUAGAGAUCGAGGCGAAGUCUUUGACUUCGAUGUAGACUUCGACUUCUCCUUAGGAUGGGGAGAAGGAGUCACAGAGCUGGAAGCAGGCAUGGAUGGAUUUUGCCACUCUAUUUGAGGGUCUGGAGAUUGAGCAGACUCCAUGGAGGCCAUAGAUGGGUUGAGAGAUUUCUCCCAAAGGUCUGUUCAACACAACGGAAAAAAAGGAACUGAGGGGACUUCUGGUGGGCAGAGCAUGCGCUCCAUGUGGGAAUGUCCCACUAAU